Molecule: ribosomal RNA, 425 nt
Filed under: uncultured bacterium
Lineage: Bacteria
Description: partial 16S ribosomal RNA
Rfam family: Bacterial small subunit ribosomal RNA
Source: RNAcentral
GUGGGGAAUCUUGCGCAAUGGGCGAAAGCCUGACGCAGCCAUGCCGCGUGGAUGAUGAAGGUCUUAGGAUUGUAAAAUCCUUUCACCGGUGAAGAUAAUGACUGUAGCCGGAGAAGAAGCCCCGGCUAACUUCGUGCCAGCAGCCGCGGUAAUACGAAGGGGGCUAGCGUUGCUCGGAAUUACUGGGCGUAAAGGGAGCGUAGGCGGACAUUUAAGUCAGGGGUGAAAUCCCGAGGCUCAACCUCGGAACUGCCUUUGAUACUGGGUGUCUUGAGUGUGAGAGAGGUGAGUGGAACUCCGAGUGUAGAGGUGAAAUUCGUAGAUAUUCGGAAGAACACCAGUGGCGAAGGCGACUCACUGGCUCAUUACUGACGCUGAGGCUCGAAAGCGUGGGGAGCAAACAGGAUUAGAAACCCUUGUAGUCC